Lathyrus oleraceus (garden pea) is the source of this 832-nucleotide long non-coding RNA. RefSeq lists it as uncharacterized. Lineage: Eukaryota; Viridiplantae; Streptophyta; Magnoliopsida; Fabales; Fabaceae. The transcript has 3 exons. The record is from RefSeq and is a predicted model, not a curated record.
CACUUAUGUUUGCAAUCACGCAAUCGGGAAACACGGAUCGUCCGAUCUUGAUCUAACGUUCAGAAAGAAGUCAAGGCAAUUAGGUACAGAUGAAAUAUGUAUUAAAAAGUUAAGACUAAGAUGGAUAAGAUUUGACAGCUUAUGCUUAAGUUGCAGUUGUUAUUGACUCAACCAGAUUUGAUUAAAAGUGGUUGAGUUUCUUGGCAAUAAAUGAUUUUGAAAGCUCCCAUGUGAUUGGUUUUAACAGAUUAAUAUCCUAACAAGUGAACUCAAUUAAUUCCUUUCUACUAACCACCAUAAUAAAUUAUUGGUUACAAAAGCUAAAGAAAUAGUAUGUUCACACACUUCAUCUAAUCUUCAAUAUAACCAAUAAAAAAGUCAUUUUUUUUGUGUUUUAACUAAUUCUACUUUAUGUGUUUCUCCUUAUAUAUGACGCCAAAUGCUGCUAUAUGAAUCAGAUUCAAGUUCAAGUUCAUCUCUUCCCAAAAGAUAAUGGUGUCUGCACUAGAACAACAGAAGACAGCACAAAAUGAUAGUGUUCGCACGCGCCGCGAAGAAAAAGGAAUCCUAUAUGCUUUUUUCUAUUCACUCUGUUGCUGCUUUUGCUGCAACGAGAGUUGCCGAUGCUGCUGUGGACGCACCUGCUGUUGCUGUCCCUAGAUUGCUUGAUCUCCAAGAUACCUAUGCCAAGUUUAUGUUUCAUUGCGUUUUUGCGUGUAUGAAGUGAUGAUUUUCGGAGCCAUUACAGAUUCAUCUUUGAAAACAUCGAUGAAUUUAUCGUGAUUUUUCGUCUUAGUGUAUCAAUAACAAGAAAUCAAAGUUUCUACAGCUA